UGGGGAAUAUUGCACAAUGGGCGCAAGCCUGAUGCAGCCAUGCCGCGUGUGUGAAGAAGGCCUUCGGGUUGUAAAGCACUUUCAGCGAGGAGGAAGGUGGUGAACUUAAUACGUUCAUCAAUUGACGUUACUCGCAGAAGAAGCACCGGCUAACUCCGUGCCAGCAGCCGCGGUAAUACGGAGGGUGCAAGCGUUAAUCGGAAUUACUGGGCGUAAAGCGCACGCAGGCGGUUUGUUAAGUCAGAUGUGAAAUCCCCGGGCUCAACCUGGGAACUGCAUUUGAAACUGGCAAGCUAGAGUCUCGUAGAGGGGGGUAGAAUUCCAGGUGGUAGCGGUGAAAUGCGUAGAGAUCUGGAGGAAUACCGGUGGCGAAGGCGGCCCCCUGGANGAAGACUGACGCUCAGGUGCGAAAGCGUGGGGAGCAAACAGGUUAGAUACCCUGGUAGUCCACGCUGUAAACGAUGUCGAUUUUGGAGGUUGUGCCCUUGAGGCGUGGCUUCCGGAGCUAACGCGUUAAAUCGACCGCCUGGGGAGUACGG
RNAcentral lists this ribosomal RNA (539 nucleotides) under uncultured bacterium. RNAcentral's name for it is "partial 16S ribosomal RNA". It matches the Rfam family "Bacterial small subunit ribosomal RNA", at positions 355 to 885 of the family's 1533-position model. The record is from RNAcentral.